GGAAGGGUGGCUUAGUGGUUAGCACGCCCACCUCUCAUCCUGUGGGCCGCGGGUUCGAAUCGCGCCUCCUGAG
Non-coding RNA from Pangasianodon gigas (Mekong giant catfish), 73 nucleotides. The record is from the annotation of a GenBank genome assembly. NCBI's taxonomy places the organism in Eukaryota, Metazoa, Chordata, Actinopteri, Siluriformes, Pangasiidae.